AUUUGGGGUAAGAAAAUUAUAUGAUUGGAACUGUGUUUCAAGGAGAUGAAUUUGGCUGUUUUGUGCAAGAUGGGUUGGCUGGAAAUCAGAGACCAGUGAGGACGCUAUUGUGGAAGGAAAUGUGUAAUGAAGGCAUCAAAUGCAAGGAAUUUCAAAAUGCUGUAUUUGUAUUCAUUUCUAAGUACCUGGACGAUGCCAUACUCCAACUUUACGCAGUAAUAAAAAAGAACCCAUCCAGAUAUCUGUUCCAUCAGUGAAGGCCAUUUGAUAAAAAAAAGUUCAUAUCAGUCAUACCGGCAUUUGGCACUGCUGGGUGUUUGCUCCAUCUGAACUCAAUUCUUGUCACCAUCUUCCUGGACUCUGAAACUUGUUCCUCCUUGGUAUUUCAGCACUGACGCCUCACAAGAACAUGGAAUGUCAUCCUCAAAGCCUGUAUCUGUGAGCUUGGCAGGUUUCUGAGCUUUAAGACAAAUAAAAUGUUUUGGCCACAAGCACAUAUUUAUGUGAUCUGGCCCGGCUGUGAUAUUGGGUAAACAGCAACUUUGGUGAUGAGUCAGUCCAUGGACCUGUCCCAUGCAUGAUGUGAACCUGUGCCAUGCAUGCAGUGAACCUGCACAAUGCACUACAUGAAUCUGUGUGAUGCAUGAAGUGAAACUGUGCAGUGCUGAUGUGAAUCUGUGCAAUGCAUGGAGUGAACCCGUGCAACGCAUUAUGUGAAUCUGUGUAAUGCAUGCAUGGAGUGGACCUGUGCCAUGCACGAAGUUCCAUGUGUUUUUAAACCCAGCUCCAGCCAAAGUUAUGUGUUAUAAAUUAUUCCAGAUUAAAUUGAAAUAAAUAUCAAAUGUCAACAGAGAACCCCAUCCACUGGACCAAACCAUCCCUAAAACACAACAUAGAUGAGUUCCAAUGUGUUCUGUCAGCCUCAUAACUACCCCUGUCAGGUAAUUUAUAAUGCAAUUCAAGAAGCUGUAUGCCGUUUCCUUACCUUUUAGGCCUCUUUUUCCCCUUUGGAAUAUCUCACCUUUUUAAACCACAGGAAUAAAACUAUGGUUAGAAAUGAUUAAAUUUUAACUUACACAUUCUGAGCGUGGCUCAGUGUGUCAAGGAAA
Pan troglodytes (chimpanzee) is the source of this 1109-nucleotide long non-coding RNA. RefSeq lists it as uncharacterized. The record is from RefSeq and is a predicted model, not a curated record. The transcript has 4 exons. Lineage: Eukaryota; Metazoa; Chordata; Mammalia; Primates; Hominidae.